GGUAGAAAGAGCAAACAUCUGAAUGUUCACACCACUUCCUGGUUCCUUGUCGAUCCUUCACAAGGAAAUGAGUUUUUAAUUUAUUUAUUCUUUGCCUUGAGAGUACAGAUUCACCUUGAAGGAGUCCUGCUUCAAAACCGGCAAGAUUCGUGAGCUUAGGACGGAGCACUAGCACCGUGGAAUCAGCAUUCGCAGGACCUGGAAGAGAGUUAAAGAGAAUGCUUACUAACUGUGCAACCUAGUCCGGACCCAACACACAGAAGACUCUGACCAGCCUCGCGGGCUCCGUCCUGGCUCCUCUCAGGACGGGAAUGUUUCUGGCGAAAACACCAUUAGUAUGCCAUGGAGCUGCCAUUCACCAACCUGGAGGUGGCGUUCAUUUUACUGGCUUUCUUCAUCUUUUCCUUGUUUACUCUGGCUUCCAUCUACACCAGCCCUAAUGAGAGGAAUGAAGAAGAUGACCUCCACCUAAACGAAAAGAGAAGGAAAAGAAAACAGUUUAAAGGGAAGAAAAAUUGCUCAGAUGAAGAACACAGAAUUGAAACAAUGUAACUAUGACCUCAGCCACCUGUGAGUGCACAAAGGCUCCCCUAAAAAUGCCUGCUGGGAUUGCUUGCAAGACCAAGGACAUUAAAACAGCCUUCAGAUCAUAAUCGCUAGGACUCAACACAGGGAACGGGACUUUAUACUCUCUUUUUGACAUCCUUGUUUAUAAUGCCAAUUAUGAGCACUAGCUGUAAUGAAAAGGAAUACAGUUAAAGUAAGAUCUUUCAAGAAAGAGAAAAUACAUAUGUAUUAUAAUCUAGUUAGAGAAAACAAGAGUACGUGCCUAACAUGCUUAAGGCUCUGCAUUUGAUUCCCAGCUCUUACAAAAAAAUAAAUAAAUAGGGUGCUUGUGAGAUGGCUCAGUGGUUAAGAGCACUGGCUGUUCCUCCAGAGGUCCUGAGUUCAAUUCCUAACAACUACAUGGUGGCUCAGAACCAUCUAUAAAGGGAUCUGAUGCCCUCUUCUGGCAUGCAACUCUACACACAGAGCACUCACACAUUAAAAUUAAUGAAUAAAUGAAAGAAAGAAUGAAUGAAUGUACAAUGACUUCUAAAAAUUAUGUACAUAUGUAUGUAUCCAAAUGUAAAUAUGUUCACAUGAGUGCAGAUGCCCAGGAAGGCCAGAGGAGGGCAUCAGACCCCCAGAGCCAGAGCUACAGGAGGCUGAGUCACCAGGAUGUUGACAACUGAACUCAGGUCCUCUGCAACAGCAAACUCCCUUAACUACUGAGCCACUUCUCCAGCUCCAAGAACAAUGCAUUUUAACUGUUCUUCAUUCACCUGGGAAUGCACAGUGUGACUUAGAAGCUACAAUUCUUCUGUUGUAAAACUACAAUUAACCAUGCCGCUGCUGCUUCUAUAAUAAGGACUUAAUUAUAGGAAUUAAUUAGGACUUCUGAAAUAAAUACUAAAGACAAAA
This 1464-nucleotide long non-coding RNA is filed under the name Mus pahari (shrew mouse). Its description in RNAcentral is "lncRNA (MGP_PahariEiJ_G0004928.1)". Lineage: Eukaryota; Metazoa; Chordata; Mammalia; Rodentia; Muridae. The record is from RNAcentral.